Colius striatus (speckled mousebird) is the source of this 73-nucleotide non-coding RNA. The record is from the annotation of a RefSeq genome assembly. NCBI's taxonomy places the organism in Eukaryota, Metazoa, Chordata, Aves, Coliiformes, Coliidae.
UAGGCAGAAGCUCGCAGGUUAGAGCAUCUAGCUGUUAAUUAGGGUAUUAUGGGAUCGAGGCCCAUCUGCCUAG